AGGGAUCAUUACACAACGAAAAUAUGAAGGCUUUGGCUUCGCGGCCGGCUGAAAUAUUUUUUUCACCCAUGUCUUUUGCGCACUUGUUGUUUCCUGGGCGGGUUCGCCCGCCACCAGGACCAAACCAUAAACCUUUUUUUAAUGCAGUUGCAAUCAGCGUCAGUAAAAAACAAUGUAAUUAUUACAACUUUCAACAACGGAUCUCUUGGUUCUG
Molecule: unclassified non-coding RNA, 214 nt
Filed under: uncultured fungus
Lineage: Eukaryota; Fungi
Description: partial contains 18S rRNA, ITS1, 5.8S rRNA, ITS2 and 28S rRNA
Source: RNAcentral